Molecule: ribosomal RNA, 641 nt
Filed under: Salmonella enterica subsp. enterica serovar Heidelberg
Lineage: Bacteria; Pseudomonadati; Pseudomonadota; Gammaproteobacteria; Enterobacterales; Enterobacteriaceae
Description: partial 23S ribosomal RNA
Rfam family: Bacterial large subunit ribosomal RNA
Source: RNAcentral
AGACCCGAAACCCGGUGAUCUAGCCAUGGGCAGGUUGAAGGUUGGGUAACACUAACUGGAGGACCGAACCGACUAAUGUUGAAAAAUUAGCGGAUGACCUGUGGCUGGGGGUGAAAGGCCAAUCAAACCGGGAGAUAGCUGGUUCUCCCCGAAAGCUAUUUAGGUAGCGCCUCGUGAAUUCAUCUCCGGGGGUAGAGCACUGUUUCGGCUAGGGGGCCAUCCCGGCUUACCAACCCGAUGCAAACUGCGAAUACCGGAGAAUGUUAUCACGGGAGACACACGGCGGGUGCUAACGUCCGUCGUGAAGAGGGAAACAACCCAGACCGCCAGCUAAGGUCCCAAAGUCAUGGUUAAGUGGGAAACGAUGUGGGAAGGCCCAGACAGCCAGGAUGUUGGCUUAGAAGCAGCCAUCAUUUAAAGAAAGCGUAAUAGCUCACUGGUCGAGUCGGCCUGCGCGGAAGAUGUAACGGGGCUAAACCAUGCACCGAAGCUGCGGCAGCGACGCUGAUGCGUUGUUGGGUAGGGGAGCGUUCUGUAAGCCUGCGAAGGUGACCUGUGAGGGUUGCUGGAGGUAUCAGAAGUGCGAAUGCUGACAUAAGUAACGAUAAAGCGGGUGAAAAGCCCGCUCGCCGGAAGACCAA